UACGAGAUAUGGUGCCCUCUAGAC
Molecule: non-coding RNA, 24 nt
Filed under: Cricetulus griseus (Chinese hamster)
Lineage: Eukaryota; Metazoa; Chordata; Mammalia; Rodentia; Cricetidae
Source: RNAcentral